Molecule: unclassified non-coding RNA, 379 nt
Filed under: uncultured Gammaproteobacteria bacterium
Lineage: Bacteria; Pseudomonadati; Pseudomonadota; Gammaproteobacteria
Description: contains 16S-23S intergenic spacer region
Source: RNAcentral
UCCGGUUUGUCACCGGCAGUCUCGUUAAAGUGCCCAACUGAAUGUAGCAACUAAUGGCAAGGGUUGCGCUCGUUGCGGGACUUAACCCAACAUCUCACGACACGAGCUGACGACAGCCAUGCAGCACCUGUGUCCAGGUUCCCUUUCGGGCACACUCCCAUCUCUGAGAGCUUCCUGGCAUGUCAAGGGUAGGUAAGGUUUUUCGCGUUGCAUCGAAUUAAUCCACAUAAUCCACCGCUUGUGCGGGUCCCCGUCAAUUCCUUUGAGUUUUAGCCUUGCGGCCGUACUCCCCAGGCGGGGUGCUUAAUGCGUUAGCUUCGGCACGGAUGGGGUCGAUGUCCACCCACACCUAGCACCCAACGUUUACGGCUAGGACUAC